This 207-nucleotide ribosomal RNA is filed under the name uncultured bacterium. Its description in RNAcentral is "partial 16S ribosomal RNA". It matches the Rfam family "Bacterial small subunit ribosomal RNA", at positions 568 to 774 of the family's 1533-position model. The record is from RNAcentral.
CUUGUAGGUGGCGUGUCGCGUCUGUCGUGAAAGGCUCCGGCUUAACUGGAGUAGUGCGGUGGGUACGGGCAUGCUUGAGUGUGGUAGGGGAGAUUGGAAUUCCUGGUGUAGCGGUGGAAUGCGCAGAUAUCAGGAGGAACACCGGUGGCGAAGGCGGAUCUCUGGGCCAUUACUGACGCUGAGGAGCGAAAGCGUGGGGAGCGAACA